AGGACUGCCGGUCGAUAAACCGGAGGAAGGUGGGGAUGACGUCAAGUCCUCAUGGCCCUUAUGGGUAGGGCUUCACACGUCAUACAAUGGUCGGUACAGAGGGUUGCCAAGCCGCGAGGUGGAGCCAAUCCCUUAAAGCCGAUCGUAGUCCGGAUCGUAGUCUGCAACUCGACUACGUGAAGUCGGAAUCGCUAGUAAUCGCAGAUCAGCAUGCUGCGGUGAAUACGUUCCCGGGUCUU
RNAcentral lists this ribosomal RNA (239 nucleotides) under uncultured Thauera sp. RNAcentral describes it as "partial 16S ribosomal RNA". It matches the Rfam family "Bacterial small subunit ribosomal RNA", at positions 1145 to 1382 of the family's 1533-position model. The record is from RNAcentral. Lineage: Bacteria; Pseudomonadati; Pseudomonadota; Betaproteobacteria; Rhodocyclales; Zoogloeaceae.